UACGUAGGGUGCAAGCGUUGUCCGGAAUUAUUGGGCGUAAAGAGCUCGUAGGCGGUCUGUCGCGUCUGCCGUGAAAGUCCGGGGCUCAACUCCGGAUCUGCGGUGGGUACGGGCAGACUAGAGUGAUGUAGGGGAGACUGGAAUUCCUGGUGUAGCGGUGAAAUGCGUAGAUAUCUGGAGGGACACCGGUGGCGAAGGCGGCAUCCUGGACCAACACUGACGCUGAGGAGCGAAAGCCAGGGGAGCAAACGGG
RNAcentral lists this ribosomal RNA (253 nucleotides) under uncultured bacterium. RNAcentral describes it as "partial 16S ribosomal RNA". It matches the Rfam family "Bacterial small subunit ribosomal RNA", at positions 524 to 776 of the family's 1533-position model. The record is from RNAcentral.